RNAcentral lists this ribosomal RNA (649 nucleotides) under Pseudooceanicola nanhaiensis. RNAcentral's name for it is "bacterial SSU rRNA". It matches the Rfam family "Bacterial small subunit ribosomal RNA", at positions 102 to 786 of the family's 1533-position model. Lineage: Bacteria; Pseudomonadati; Pseudomonadota; Alphaproteobacteria; Rhodobacterales; Paracoccaceae. The record is from RNAcentral.
ACGGGUGAGUAACGCGUGGGAAUGUGCCCUUCUCUACGGAAUAGUCCCGGGAAACUGGGUUUAAUACCGUAUACGCCCUUCGGGGGAAAGAUUUAUCGGAGAAGGAUCAGCCCGCGUCUGAUUAGGUAGUUGGUGGGGUAAUGGCCUACCAAGCCUACGAUCAGUAGCUGGUUUUAGAGGAUGAUCAGCCACACUGGGACUGAGACACGGCCCAGACUCCUACGGGAGGCAGCAGUGGGGAAUCUUAGACAAUGGGCGCAAGCCUGAUCUAGCCAUGCCGCGUGAGUGAUGAAGGCCUUAGGGUCGUAAAACUCUUUCGCCAGGGAUGAUAAUGACAGUACCUGGUAAAGAAGCCCCGGCUAACUCCGUGCCAGCAGCCGCGGUAAUACGGAGGGGGCUAGCGUUGUUCGGAAUUACUGGGCGUAAAGCGCGCGUAGGCGGGCUAUUAAGUCAGGGGUGAAAUCCCGGGGCUCAACCCCGGAACUGCCUUUGAUACUGGUAGUCUUGAGUUCGAGAGAGGUGAGUGGAAUUCCGAGUGUAGAGGUGAAAUUCGUAGAUAUUCGGAGGAACACCAGUGGCGAAGGCGGCUCACUGGCUCGAUACUGACGCUGAGGUGCGAAAGUGUGGGGAGCAAACAGGAUUAGAUACC